This 466-nucleotide ribosomal RNA is filed under the name uncultured bacterium. RNAcentral's name for it is "partial 16S ribosomal RNA". It matches the Rfam family "Bacterial small subunit ribosomal RNA", at positions 28 to 507 of the family's 1533-position model. The record is from RNAcentral.
GAUGAACGCUGGCGGCGUGCUUAACACAUGCGAGUCGAACGGAAAGGCCCAAGCUUGCUUGGGUACUCGAGUGGCGAACGGGUGAGUAACACGUGGGUGAUCUGCCCUGCACUUCGGGAUAAGCCUGGGAAACUGGGUCUAAUACCGGAUAGGACCACAUUUUGGAUGGUGUGGUGGAAAGUUUUUCGGUGUGGGAUGAGCUCGCGGCCUAUCAGCUUGUUGGUGGGGUAAUGGCCUACCAAGGCGUCGACGGGUAGCCGGCCUGAGAGGGUGUACGGCCACAUUGGGACUGAGAUACGGCCCAGACUCCUACGGGAGGCAGCAGUGGGGAAUAUUGCACAAUGGGCGCAAGCCUGAUGCAGCGACGCCGCGGGGGGGAUGACGGCCUUCGGGUUGUAAACUCCUUUCGCUAGGGACGAAGCGUUAUGUGACGGUACCUGGAGAAGAAGCACCGGCUAACUACGUG